This 886-nucleotide long non-coding RNA is filed under the name Cricetulus griseus (Chinese hamster). RNAcentral describes it as "lncRNA (ENSCGRG00015038160.1)". Lineage: Eukaryota; Metazoa; Chordata; Mammalia; Rodentia; Cricetidae. The record is from RNAcentral.
UAGGGUUCGAAAGUUACACAGCAUCUUCUCAUUAUAUGAACAUGUAUGGACAUACAUACAGUCCAUUGACAGGAGAGAAGAUGACAUUUUCCAAAGCUAUUCAAUUCAAGGCAUUUUUCCAGCCUGAGACAAUCUGUUGAAAGAUGUGAGCAGUUUUACGGUGAGAGUGAUCCCAUCCUUCGCACAUGUUUGCCUCACACCACAAUAUUUCUACUGACAACUGAGUGGGGGAAGGGCAGCUUUGCAAAAUCAACAAAAUUUUUUUGCAAAGUAGAAGAAGGGAAUAGGGGCUUGUUUGUUCACAUGAAAUAUUAGCUCAAGUGCAGGAAGAAGCCAGGAGAGCUGUAAAGAUGAGGUGGGAAUAAAAACCCUUGAUGCAUGCACUACCCACUUGGGAUUAAAACCCAAGUCCAUCCUGGAACCUGAUAUAACCAUUCAUGUUGUAAUCUAAAGCCUUGUCAACGUACUGCAGGUGUGCACCACAUGACCAGGUGGGGGAAAAAAGAUACAAAGCCAACUGGGAAGAGAUGUGUCGGUUUCAUCUUCAUAAUACAUACAUCCCAAGAGAGCCCAAAGAAUUUUGAAGACAUGGAUUAAAAAAAUUGACUCCAGGCUGAUUGCACUUUGGACAGACCUAAAAUGCUUUUCUGAUGUGGAACAGAUGGAAAAAUCACUGAAUUCUAGCGCUGGAAGAGGCUUUAGAGUCAUAAUGUCCAGAUCGUCAUUGACAGUUUCAUCCAUUUGCCUGUGAAUUUCAAGAUUCCAUUGAUUUUUUCUGCCAUUGUAUAAAUGUACAACACUCUACCACACUCCUCAAACUGUUCCGCACAAUAGAAGCAGAUGGGAUAUUGCCAAACUCUUCCUAUGAGGCUACAAUCACUUUGAU